GUACGCUUCGAGUGAGCGGCGGACGGGUGAGUAACGCGUGGGAACCUGGCUCUUGGUGCGGAAUAGCUUCGGGAAACUGGAGGUAAUACCGCAUACGCCCCUUGGGGGAAAGAUUUAUCGCCGAGAGAUGGGCCCGCGUAGGAUUAGCUUGUUGGUGAGGUAACGGCUCACCAAGGCAACGAUCCUUAGCUGGUUUGAGAGGAUGAUCAGCCACACUGGGACUGAGACACGGCCCAGACUCCUACGGGAGGCAGCAGUGGGGAAUCUUGGACAAUGGGCGCAAGCCUGAUCCAGCCAUGCCGCGUGAGUGACGAAGGCCUUAGGGUUGUAAAGCUCUUUCGGCGGGGACGAUAAUGACGGUACCCGCAGAAGAAGCCCCGGCUAACUCCGUGCCAGCAGCCGCGGUAAUACGGAGGGGGCUAGCGUUGUUCGGAAUUACUGGGCGUAAAGCGCGCGUAGGCGGUCCAUCAAGUUGGGGGUGAAAGCCCGAGGCUCAACCUCGGAACUGCCCUCAAAACUGAUGGACUGGAAUAUCGGAGAGGCAGGCGGAAUUCCCAGUGUAGAGGUGAAAUUCGUAGAUAUUGGGAAGAACACCGGUGGCGAAGGCGGCCUGCUGGACGAUUAUUGACGCUGAGGUGCGAAAGCGUGGG
This 650-nucleotide ribosomal RNA is filed under the name uncultured bacterium. RNAcentral's name for it is "bacterial SSU rRNA". It matches the Rfam family "Bacterial small subunit ribosomal RNA", at positions 80 to 765 of the family's 1533-position model. The record is from RNAcentral.